RNAcentral lists this microRNA precursor (103 nucleotides) under Marmota monax (woodchuck). The record is from RNAcentral. Lineage: Eukaryota; Metazoa; Chordata; Mammalia; Rodentia; Sciuridae.
AGUGGGAUAGCUGGGUCAAAUGGUGGCUUCAUUCCAAAUUUUUGAAGGAUUCUUCAUAGUGCUUUCCAGAUUGGCUGCACCAAUUUGCAGUCCCAUCAGCAAU